Molecule: ribosomal RNA, 527 nt
Filed under: uncultured bacterium
Lineage: Bacteria
Description: bacterial SSU rRNA
Rfam family: Bacterial small subunit ribosomal RNA
Source: RNAcentral
AGAGUUUGAUCAUGGCUCAGGAUGAACGCUAGCGGCAGGCUUAAUACAUGCAAGUCGAGGGGUAACAGUUGAGUAGCAAUACUUGAGCUGACGACCGGCAAACGGGUGCGGAACACGUGCGAAACCUUCCCUUAUCUGGGAGAUAGCCCGAAGAAAUUCGGAUUAAUAUCCCAUAAUAUAUUGAGAUGGCAUCAUUUUAAUAUUAAAACUCCGGUGGAUGAGGAUGGUCGCGCGUAUGAUUAGGUAGUUGGCGGGGUAACGGCCCACCAAGCCUACGAUCAUUAGCUGAUGUGAGAGCAUGAUCAGCCACACGGGCACUGAGACACGGGCCCGACUCCUACGGGAGGCAGCAGUAAGGAAUAUUGGUCAAUGGACGCAAGUCUGAACCAGCCAUGCCGCGUGAAGGAUUAAGGUCCUCUGGAUUGUAAACUUCUUUUAUAGGGGGCGAAACCCUUCAUUUCUAUGAAGCUUGACAGUACCCUAUGAAUAAGCACCGGCUAACUCCGUGCCAGCAGCCGCGGUAAUAC